CAGGUGGUGCAUGGUUGUCGUCAGCUCGUGUCGUGAGAUGUUGGGUUAAGUCCCGCAACGAGCGCAACCCUUAAGCUUAGUUGCCAUCAUUAAGUUGGGCACUCUAAGUUGACUGCCGGUGACAAACCGGAGGAAGGUGGGGAUGACGUCAAAUCAUCAUGCCCCUUAUGAUUUGGGCUACACACGUGCUACAAUGGACAAUACAAAGGGCAGCGAAACCGCGAGGUCAAGCAAAUCCCAUAAAGUUGUUCUCAGUUCGGAUUGUAGUCUGCAACUCGACUACAUGAAGCUGGAAUCGCUAGUAAUCGUAGAUCAGCAUGCUACGGUGAAUACGUUCCCGGGUCUUGUACACACCGCCCGUCACACCACGAGAGUUUGUAACACCCGAAGCCGGUGGAGUAACCAUUUGGAGCUAGCCGUCGAAGGUGGGACAAAUGAUUGGGGUGAAGUC
This 451-nucleotide ribosomal RNA is filed under the name Staphylococcus sp. HMSC068C09. RNAcentral describes it as "bacterial SSU rRNA". It matches the Rfam family "Bacterial small subunit ribosomal RNA", at positions 1035 to 1487 of the family's 1533-position model. The record is from RNAcentral. Lineage: Bacteria; Bacillati; Bacillota; Bacilli; Caryophanales; Staphylococcaceae.